CCCUUAGACGUUCUGGGCCGCACGCGCGCUACACUGACCAGUGCAACAAGUUUUGUCCUUGGCUGAUAGGCCUGGGUAAUCUUUGAACGUGAAUCGUGAUGGGGAUAGAUGAUUGCAAUUAUUCAUCUUCAACGAGGAAUUCCUAGUAAACGCAAGUCAUCAGCUUGCAUUGAUUACGUCCCUGCCCUUUGUACACACCGCCCGUCGCACCUACCGAUUGAAUGGUCCGGUGAAAUCUUCGGAUCUGAGAGAUGUCUGAUUAAUUUCGGACGCCUUUUGGAAAAGUUGCUUAAACCUUACCAUUUAGAGGAAGGUGAAGUCGUAACA
This 327-nucleotide ribosomal RNA is filed under the name uncultured eukaryote. Its description in RNAcentral is "partial 18S ribosomal RNA". It matches the Rfam family "Eukaryotic small subunit ribosomal RNA", at positions 1470 to 1796 of the family's 1831-position model. The record is from RNAcentral.